This 1372-nucleotide ribosomal RNA is filed under the name uncultured bacterium. Its description in RNAcentral is "bacterial SSU rRNA". It matches the Rfam family "Bacterial small subunit ribosomal RNA", at positions 28 to 1381 of the family's 1533-position model. The record is from RNAcentral.
GAUGAACGCUGGCGGCGUGCCUAAUACAUGCAAGUCGAGCGAACGGACGAGAAGCUUGCUUUUCUGAUGUUAGCGGCGGACGGGUGAGUAACACGUGGAUAACCUACCUAUAAGACUGGGAUAACUUCGGGAAACCGGAGCUAAUACCGGAUAAUAUUUUGAACCGCAUGGUUCAAAAGUGAAAGACGGUCUUGCUGUCACUUAUAGAUGGAUCCGCGCUGCAUUAGCUAGUUGGUAAGGUAACGGCUUACCAAGGCAACGAUGCAUAGCCGACCUGAGAGGGUGAUCGGCCACACUGGAACUGAGACACGGUCCAGACUCCUACGGGAGGCAGCAGUAGGGAAUCUUCCGCAAUGGGCGAAAGCCUGACGGAGCAACGCCGCGUGAGUGAUGAAGGUCUUCGGAUCGUAAAACUCUGUUAUUAGGGAAGAACAUAUGUGUAAGUAACUGUGCACAUCUUGACGGUACCUAAUCAGAAAGCCACGGCUAACUACGUGCCAGCAGCCGCGGUAAUACGUAGGUGGCAAGCGUUAUCCGGAAUUAUUGGGCGUAAAGCGCGCGUAGGCGGUUUUUUAAGUCUGAUGUGAAAGCCCACGGCUCAACCGUGGAGGGUCAUUGGAAACUGGAAAACUUGAGUGCAGAAGAGGAAAGUGGAAUUCCAUGUGUAGCGGUGAAAUGCGCAGAGAUGUGGAGGAACACCAGUGGCGAAGGCGACUUUCUGGUCUGUAACUGACGCUGAUGUGCGAAAGCGUGGGGAUCAAACAGGAUUAGAUACCCUGGUAGUCCACGCCGUAAACGAUGAGUGCUAAGUGUUAGGGGGUUUCCGCCCCUUAGUGCUGCAGCUAACGCAUUAAGCACUCCGCCUGGGGAGUACGACCGCAAGGUUGAAACUCAAAGGAAUUGACGGGGGCCCGCACAAGCGGUGGAGCAUGUGGUUUAAUUCGAAGCAACGCGAAGAACCUUACCAAAUCUUGACAUCCUUUGACAACUCUAGAGAUAGAGCCUUCCCCUUCGGGGGACAAAGUGACAGGUGGUGCAUGGUUGUCGUCAGCUCGUGUCGUGAGAUGUUGGGUUAAGUCCCGCAACGAGCGCAACCCUUAAGCUUAGUUGCCAUCAUUAAGUUGGGCACUCUAAGUUGACUGCCGGUGACAAACCGGAGGAAGGUGGGGAUGACGUCAAAUCAUCAUGCCCCUUAUGAUUUGGGCUACACACGUGCUACAAUGGACAAUACAAAGGGCAGCGAAACCGCGAGGUCAAGCAAAUCCCAUAAAGUUGUUCUCAGUUCGGAUUGUAGUCUGCAACUCGACUACAUGAAGCUGGAAUCGUUAGUAAUCGUAGAUCAGCAUGCUACGGUGAAUACGUUCCCGGGUCU